UCCUCAGUAGCUCAAUCGGCAGAGCAUUCGGCUGUUAACCGAAGGGUUCCUGGUUCGAGUCCAGGCUGAGGAGCCA
RNAcentral lists this transfer RNA (76 nucleotides) under Chloroflexota bacterium. Its description in RNAcentral is "Chloroflexi bacterium (groundwater metagenome) tRNA-Asn". It matches the Rfam family "tRNA". Rfam says of the family: Transfer RNA (tRNA) molecules are approximately 80 nucleotides in length. Their secondary structure includes four short double-helical elements and three loops (D, anti-codon, and T loops). Lineage: Bacteria; Bacillati; Chloroflexota. RNAcentral also lists the same sequence under 1 other name. The record is from RNAcentral.